This 53-nucleotide small RNA is filed under the name Plasmodium falciparum 3D7. RNAcentral's name for it is "Pfa-npcR7545". The record is from RNAcentral. Lineage: Eukaryota; Apicomplexa; Aconoidasida; Haemosporida; Plasmodiidae.
GUUGCUGAUUUUAUUUAUAGUUUGUUGAUAGAAUAUAUUUUCUAAAUUUUGAG